Molecule: long non-coding RNA, 403 nt
Organism: Mobula hypostoma (lesser devil ray)
Lineage: Eukaryota; Metazoa; Chordata; Chondrichthyes; Myliobatiformes; Myliobatidae
Exons: 4
Source: RefSeq, a predicted model, not a curated record
GUCAAUCCUUUCCACAAGAAGCAACUGAAGAACGGUCAGUUUGUGGAAUCAUUCCGCACCCCCCCCACCUCACUUCAUUUUUCUACGUCUUUUUAUUGUAGACUGUAGCCCUCUGGUUUAGGAGACAAAUGGGAAGAUUUCCUGGGGGUGGGGGCUUGCCGUAGCUGAGACCUUGCCGACUCUUUCCAGACCGGUUGAAUCCAGAUGUGUGGGGAGUCUUGGCAGCAGCUCUGGCAGAAGCUGAUGACACUAAGCAACGGAGACUCCAGAGCACAGCUACUUUGAUGGAAGACAUCAUAAAGAUCAGAGAGGUGAGGACCUCAUACUUGCUUCCACUUCUGGAUUGGCUUUCUGUAAUCAAGACUGAAUGUAGGCAUUGACCGGGCUUCAUCAGAGUAGUCUG